GCCAGGUGGGGUGGUGCCUGCCUGUCAUUCCAGCAUCUCGGGAGGCUGAGGCAGGAGGAUCUCAAGUUCAAGACAGCCUCAGCUACUUAGCAAGGCCCUAAGUAACUCAGGGAGACCCUGUCUCUA
Molecule: small RNA, 126 nt
Filed under: Marmota monax (woodchuck)
Lineage: Eukaryota; Metazoa; Chordata; Mammalia; Rodentia; Sciuridae
Source: RNAcentral